Molecule: ribosomal RNA, 497 nt
Filed under: uncultured bacterium
Lineage: Bacteria
Description: partial 16S ribosomal RNA
Rfam family: Bacterial small subunit ribosomal RNA
Source: RNAcentral
GAUGAACGCUGGCGGCGUGCCUAAUACAUGCAAGUCGAGCGAACAGACGAGGAGCUUGCUCCUCUGACGUUAGCGGCGGACGGGUGAGUAACACGUGGAUAACCUACCUAUAAGACUGGGAUAACUUCGGGAAACCGGAGCUACUACCGGAUAAUAUAUUGAACCGCAUGGUUCAAUAGUGAAAGACGGUUUUGCUGUCACUUAUAGAUGGAUCCGCGCCGCAUUAGCUAGUUGGUAAGGUAACGGCCUACCAAGGCAACGAUGCGUAGCCGACCUGAGAGGGUGAUCGGCCACACUGGAACUGAGACACGGUCCAGACUCCUACGGGAGGCAGCAGUAGGGAAUCUUCCGCAAUGGGCGAAAGCCUGACGGAGCAACGCCGCGUGAGUGAUGAAGGUCUUCGGAUCGUAAAACUCUGUUAUUAGGGAAGAACAAAUGUGUAAGUAACUAUGCACGUCUUGACGGUACCUAAUCAGAAAGCCACGGCUAACUACGUG